CAAAGAAGUCAACAUGACCAAAAUGGUCAGUUGACCCCUUAAGGAGUUAUUGCCCUUUAUAGUCAUUUUUUACCAAUUUUUCGUAAAUUUUUGUAAUCUUCUACAAAAAUCUUCUUCUCUGAAACUACUGGGCCAAAUUUAAUCAAACUUAGCCACAACCAUUAUUAGGGUAUUUAGUUUAAAAAAUGUGUGCGGUGACCCGGCCA
RNAcentral lists this long non-coding RNA (206 nucleotides) under Mytilus galloprovincialis (Mediterranean mussel). The record is from RNAcentral. Lineage: Eukaryota; Metazoa; Mollusca; Bivalvia; Mytilida; Mytilidae.